UUUGAAGUGUGGACGCCAGUCUGCAUGGAGCCGGCCUUGAAAUACCACCCUUUAAUGUUUGAUGUUCUAACGUGGACCCGUGAUCCGGGUUGCGGACAGUGUCUGGUGGGUAGUUUGACUGGGGCGGUCUCCUCCUAAAGAGUAACGGAGGAGCACGAAGGUUGGCUAAUCCUGGUCGGACAUCAGGAGGUUAGUGCAAUGGCAUAAGCCAGCUUGACUGCGAGCGUGACGGCGCGAGCAGGUGCGAAAGCAGGUCAUAGUGAUCCGGUGGUUCUGAAUGGAAGGGCCAUCGCUCAACGGAUAAAAGGUACUCCGGGGAUAACAGGCUGAUACCGCCCAAGAGUUCAUAUCGACGGCGGUGUUUGGCACCUCGAUGUCGGCUCAUCACAUCCUGGGGCUGAAGUAGGUCCCAAGGGUAUGGCUGUUCGCCAUUUAAAGUGGUACGCGAGCUGGGUUUAGAACGUCGUGAGACAGUUCGGUCCCUAUCUGCCGUGGGCGCUGGAGAACUGAGGGGGGCUGCUCCUAGUACGAGAGGACCGGAGUGGACGCAUCACUGGUGUUCGGGUUGUCAUGCCAAUGGCACUGCCCGGUAGCUAAAUGCGGAAGAGAUAAGUGCUGAAAGCAUCUAAGCACGAAACUUGCCCCGA
This 647-nucleotide ribosomal RNA is filed under the name Salmonella enterica. RNAcentral's name for it is "partial 23S ribosomal RNA". It matches the Rfam family "Bacterial large subunit ribosomal RNA", at positions 2156 to 2802 of the family's 2925-position model. RNAcentral also lists the same sequence under 2 other names. Lineage: Bacteria; Pseudomonadati; Pseudomonadota; Gammaproteobacteria; Enterobacterales; Enterobacteriaceae. The record is from RNAcentral.